RNAcentral lists this microRNA (21 nucleotides) under Macaca mulatta (Rhesus monkey). RNAcentral describes it as "mml-miR-765". Its record names the gene mml-miR-765. Lineage: Eukaryota; Metazoa; Chordata; Mammalia; Primates; Cercopithecidae. The record is from miRBase by way of RNAcentral.
UGGAGGAGAGGGAAGGUGCUG